This 748-nucleotide ribosomal RNA is filed under the name uncultured bacterium. Its description in RNAcentral is "bacterial SSU rRNA". It matches the Rfam family "Bacterial small subunit ribosomal RNA", at positions 8 to 796 of the family's 1533-position model. The record is from RNAcentral.
AGAGUUUGAUCCUGGCUCAGGAUGAACGCUGGCCUGCUUAACACAUGCAAGUCGAACGGAGUAGAAAUACUUAGUGGCGGACGGGUGAGUAACGCGUGAGAAUCUGCCUUCAGGACGGAGACAACAGUUGGAACGACUGCUAAGCCCGAUGAACCGAAAGGGAAAAUAUUUAUAGCCUGAAGAUGAGCUCGCGUCCGAUUAGCUAGUUGGCGGAGUAAAAGCCCACCAAGGCGACGAUCGGUAGCUGGUCUGAGAGGACGAUCAGCCACACUGGGACUGAGACACGGCCCAGACUCCUACGGGAGGCAGCAGUGGGGAAUUUUCCGCAAUGGGCGAAGCCUGACGGAGCAAGACCGCGUGGGGGAAGAAGGCUCUUGGGUUGUAAACCCCUUUUCUCUGGGAAGAAAGUUGUGAAAGCAACCUGACGGUACCAGAGGAAUCAGCAUCGGCUACUCCGUGCCAGCAGCCGCGGUAAGACGGAGGAUGCAAGCGUUAUCCGGAAUGAUUGGGCGUAAAGCGUCCGCAGGUGGCAGUUCAAGUCUGCUGUCAAAGACCGGGGCUUAACUUCGGAAAGGCAGUGGAAACUGAACAGCUAGAGUAUGGUAGGGGCAGAGGGAAUUCCUGGUGUAGCGGUGAAAUGCGUAGAGAUCAGGAAGAACAUCGGUGGCGGAGGNNCUCUGCUGGACCAUAACUGACACUCAGGGACGAAAGCUAGGGGAGCGAAUGGGAUUAGAUACCCUAGUAGUCC